GGCGGUCACGGCUAAUGAAUCGCCUCUAUCCUGGGCAGUGUAUUCUGACAUCACGCACAGGGAGCGCAACAUAACAGAUUGAUGAAGAAACAAGAAAUUCCGCAUGCAGCUCAGGAGAGCCGAAGGUUCAGUGGGCGUUCUCAAAUCCCACGACCAAGCCAGGAACUCGAGAGCGGAUGUCAGUGAGCUACCGGCCUCUGGAGGACAAAGUCCAGCCCUGUCCGCCUGAGCUCCCUAGUCUCCUGUGGGAGGUUAUGCCUCCCUAACCUGUGGGAGCGCCAAGGGCAAUGUGACACUGCCUCUGGAAUCCCCAGUGAAGACCAGCGACUUUGCACAGCCAGGACGCAAACCUGCACUCCUCUGAUUGUAUGACCACCGGCUUUACCAGGGGAGACCUCGGGACCCGACAGUGGGGUAUUUAAAUUCUACAGACCACUGUACAGAUUAAAGAACCAAAUAUAUUUCACAUAAGGACAACUAUGUUAUACACACUGAAAUGUUAAAAUACACUACACAUAGUAUAGUAAUGGCCUUUUUUGUACAGUAUAAUGAAUGAAUGAAUGUAUUUUCUGUAUGAAAAUUCAAUGAUAAUGAAAAAGGGUUUGAUUAUUGCUA
This is a long non-coding RNA of Acipenser ruthenus (sterlet), 615 nucleotides long. RefSeq lists it as uncharacterized. The transcript is spliced from 2 exons. The record is from RefSeq and is a predicted model, not a curated record. NCBI's taxonomy places the organism in Eukaryota, Metazoa, Chordata, Actinopteri, Acipenseriformes, Acipenseridae.